ACAAGGUUUCCGUAGGUGAACCUGCGGAAGGAUCAUUAACGAGUUAAUUGAACAGGUUGUAGCUGGCCCUCAGGGGCAUGUGCACGCCUGGCUCAUCCACUCUUCAACCUCUGUGCACUUGUUGUAGGUCGGCGGAAGGGCGAGUCUGGUUUCAUUACUGUGACUUGCUUGGAAGCCUUCCUAUGUCUUUACAAACGCUUCAGUUUAAGAAUGUAAUCUGCGUAUAACGCAUCUAUAUACAACUUUCAGCAACGGAUCUCUUGGCUCUCGCAUCGAUGAAGAACGCAGCGAAAUGCGAUAAGUAAUGUGAAUUGCAGAAUUCAGUGAAUCAUCGAAUCUUUGAACGCACCUUGCGCUCCCUGGUAUUCCGGGGAGCAUGCCUGUUUGAGUGUCAUGGUACUCUCAACCUUCAUARCUUUGUUGUUAUCGAAGGCUUGGAUUUGGAGGUUGUGCUGGCUUCUUGUCAAGUCGGCUCCUCUUAAAUGGAUUAGCGUGAGUGUAACGGAUCGCUUCGGUGUGAUAAUUAUCUGCGCCGUGGUCGUGAAGUAACAUCAGCUUGUGCUCCUAACCGUCCUUCAGCUGGACAAAUUUACUCUGACAUCUGGCCUCAAAUCAGGUAGGACUACCCGCUGAA
RNAcentral lists this ribosomal RNA (634 nucleotides) under Phanerochaete velutina. RNAcentral's name for it is "eukaryotic LSU rRNA". The record is from RNAcentral. Lineage: Eukaryota; Fungi; Basidiomycota; Agaricomycetes; Polyporales; Phanerochaetaceae.